Molecule: transfer RNA, 75 nt
Filed under: Lignipirellula cremea
Lineage: Bacteria; Pseudomonadati; Planctomycetota; Planctomycetia; Pirellulales; Pirellulaceae
Description: Planctomycetes bacterium Pla85_3_4 tRNA-Thr
Rfam family: tRNA
About the family: Transfer RNA (tRNA) molecules are approximately 80 nucleotides in length.
Source: RNAcentral
GCCGACGUGGCUCGACACAGAAAGGCGUCCGCGUUGUAAGCGGAAUCAUGCUGGUGCGAAUCCAGUCGUCGGCUC